This 63-nucleotide microRNA precursor is filed under the name Rhinopithecus bieti (black snub-nosed monkey). Its description in RNAcentral is "miRNA (ENSRBIG00000017018.1)". Lineage: Eukaryota; Metazoa; Chordata; Mammalia; Primates; Cercopithecidae. The record is from RNAcentral.
CGGGAUGCCGCGGCGGGGACGGCCAUUGGUCCGGAUGUGUGGUGCCACCGGCCGCCGGCUCCG